Molecule: unclassified non-coding RNA, 434 nt
Filed under: soil metagenome
Description: partial contains 5.8S ribosomal RNA, internal transcribed spacer 2, and large subunit ribosomal RNA
Rfam family: 5.8S ribosomal RNA (bases 1-120)
Source: RNAcentral
GAUGAAGAACGUAGCGAAAUGCGAUACGUAAUGUGAAUUGCAGAAUUCAGUGAAUCAUCGAAUCUUUGAACGCAUAUUGCGCUCUUUGGUAUUCCGAAGAGCAUGCUUGUUUGAGUAUCAGUAAACACCUCAAAGCUUUUGGAUUUUUUAAUCGAAAAGCUUUGGACUUGAGCAAUCCCAACACCAAUCUUUUUGAGAUCGGUGGCGGGUUGCUUGAAAUGCAGGUGCAGCUGGACAUUCUCCUGAGCUAAAAGCAUAUUCAUUUAGUCCCGUCAAACGGAUUAUUACUUUUGCUGCAGCUAUCAUAAAGGGAGUUUGACCGUAUUGGCUGACUGAUGCAGGAUUUCACAAGGGUCGGCAACGAUUCUUGUUAAACUCGAUCUCAAAUCAAGUAAGACUACCCGCUGAACUUAAGCAUAUCAAUAAGCGGAGGA